RNAcentral lists this long non-coding RNA (267 nucleotides) under Carica papaya (papaya). Its description in RNAcentral is "long non-coding RNA (CPAP_LNC009365)". Lineage: Eukaryota; Viridiplantae; Streptophyta; Magnoliopsida; Brassicales; Caricaceae. The record is from RNAcentral.
GGGGUAAAAUUGUAUUGAGAUGGAACUGAAUCCGCUCGUUGUAGGGGUGGCUUAUACUGUGGUAGUGGUGGAGGGUCAGACAGCUCCCUCCUCUCUUCUCUGGCCUGCUGGGCAGAGAUGAGUCUCUCUAACAUCUCAAAGAGCCGAUCAACAUCCUCUCAAAGUGACCCAUCUCGUGCUGCCCUGUUCAAUAGCUUGUACUUAUUUUUCACAACGAAUGAUUAAGAGAGUUUAUAUUUGGUGUUUUUAAGUCUCUGUGUAAGGAAU